GAUCCUGGCUCAGGAUGAACGCUAGCGGCAGGCCUAACACAUGCAAGUCGAGGGGUAGAGUUCUUCGGAACUUGAGACCGGCGCACGGGUGCGUAACGCGUAUGCAAUCUACCUUAUACAGGGGAAUAGCCCAGAGAAAUUUGGAUUAAUGCCCCAUAGUAUUAUUGAAUGGCAUCAUUUGAUAAUUAAAGUUCCAACGGUAUAAGAUGAGCAUGCGUCCCAUUAGUUAGUUGGUAAGGUAACGGCUUACCAAGACAAUGAUGGGUAGGGGUCCUGAGAGGGAGAUCCCCCACACUGGUACUGAGACACGGACCAGACUCCUACGGGAGGCAGCAGUGAGGAAUAUUGGUCAAUGGGCGCAAGCCUGAACCAGCCAUGCCGCGUGCAGGAAGAAGCAUCUAUGGUGUGUAAACUGCUUUUAUACAGGAAGAAACAACUCUACGUGUAGAGUCUUGACGGUACUGUAAGAAUAAGGACCGGCUAACUCCGUG
RNAcentral lists this ribosomal RNA (491 nucleotides) under uncultured bacterium. Its description in RNAcentral is "bacterial SSU rRNA". It matches the Rfam family "Bacterial small subunit ribosomal RNA", at positions 15 to 507 of the family's 1533-position model. The record is from RNAcentral.